AUGAAUCUAAUCAGCUGGAACUGUCGGGGAGGGGGGAAACCCCGGACAGUUCGCGAACUAGCAACUUUGCUUAAGUCGUAUUCCCCCAGUUUUGUGUUCUUGUGUGGAACUAGACAGAAGGUAGCUAAGAUGAGAAGAAUACGCCGAAGGCUGGGACUUAAAGGUUUCGCGGGCGUAGAUUGUAUUGGUAUGAGGGGAGGUCUAUCCUUGUACUGGCAGGAGUCUUGCAUAGUUGAUAUAAUUGACAAAGAAGACCGGUAUAUUCAUGCUUUUGUCAGAUUACAUGAAGGGGCCGAGCAGUGGAGAGUCACUUUUGUCUAUGGUGAGCUUCGAGUUGAAAACUGUCAUCUCAUGUGGUCGAAAUUACUUAACUUGAAAGGAAUCAGUGAUCUCCCAUGA
Molecule: ribosomal RNA, 399 nt
Filed under: Triticum aestivum (bread wheat)
Lineage: Eukaryota; Viridiplantae; Streptophyta; Magnoliopsida; Poales; Poaceae
Description: partial small subunit ribosomal RNA
Source: RNAcentral